Peromyscus maniculatus bairdii (prairie deer mouse) is the source of this 606-nucleotide non-coding RNA. NCBI's taxonomy places the organism in Eukaryota, Metazoa, Chordata, Mammalia, Rodentia, Cricetidae. The record is from RefSeq and is a predicted model, not a curated record.
GAAACACUUGGUGCUUCCUUUGAACUAUUCUGUUUGAACAUGCUGGGUCUCACUUAAGUGCCCAGGCUGAUCUUUUACUUGCUGUGUAGCCCAGGCCUUGAACUUGGACUUCUGCUCCUCUGCUGCAGCCGCUAUUACAGGUCUGGCUCAGUGACUUGCUAACUGAGACUCUCUCACGGUCAGACAGCUUUUUAGGUCAGCACUUGGGAGAAACACAGCGUGUGCAUCAGCUUUUCUCUUGAUAAAGCUAAGCGACAGCAAAGACCUAAGAGUCAGCCGGUGUCACCCAGCUUUAGGACCACAGCUGGGCAGGAAGCAGUGGAGACUACAGCAACCUGGAGCACACAGGCCCGAUCCACAGGGGAAGCUGCCACUUGUCUGUUCCCAGCUCAACGACCAGAUACUCUGCUUUGUCCUGCUAGAAAAGAGCGCUCUCAGUCAGAAUUAUGAUCAGAAAUUUGAUUUUGAAAUGCUGACAAUCUGAAUAGGGAGAAAUAAAAUGUGCCAACUCCAUGUAUACUACUUUCAUAGCUAUUUAUGAUCUUUGCAUGCCAAGGUUGUUGAACCCCAAACCCCAAUAUAUGCGAAGCUUUACAGUCUCUGGUC